This 434-nucleotide ribosomal RNA is filed under the name uncultured bacterium. RNAcentral's name for it is "bacterial SSU rRNA". It matches the Rfam family "Bacterial small subunit ribosomal RNA", at positions 355 to 804 of the family's 1533-position model. The record is from RNAcentral.
UGGGGAAUAUUGGACAAUGGGCGCAAGCCUGAUCCAGCCAUGCCGCGUGAGUGACGAAGGCCUUAGGGUUGUAAAGCUCUUUUGGCGGGGACGAUAAUGACGGUACCCGCAGAAUAAGCCCCGGCUAACUUCGUGCCAGCAGCCGCGGUAAUACGAAGGGGGCUAGCGUUGUUCGGAAUUACUGGGCGUAAAGCGCACGUAGGCGGAUGUGCCAGUCAGGGGUGAAAUCCCGAGGCUCAACCUCGGAACUGCCUCCGAUACAGCACGUCUCGAGUCCGGAAGAGGUGAGUGGAAUUCCUAGUGUAGAGGUGAAAUUCGUAGAUAUUAGGAAGAACACCAGUGGCGAAGGCGGCUCACUGGCCCGGUACUGACGCUGAGGUGCGAAAGCGUGGGGAGCAAACAGGAUUAGAUACCCGAGUAGUCCCUGAGCGGGC